CUCAUCCAUGGCUUCGUCCCCGUUCGUCGUGCCAAUCACCAACCUGCAGCCAGGUCCCACGUUAUGAUCUGUCUCCUCAUUGAUCGUGGUGUGACGGCCUUCUUGAAUUUGACGGGAGAAUGCUGCAUCUAUGUUUAGGUCUAUCUUGAAUCCCAGGGUAACAGACACUCUGUAAUGUUGGUCACCACAACCAAACCACAGCUGUUUGGAGUAGGUUCGUCUCAGCUCGACGGCAGCCACCAAUUAUUACUUCGAUACAAACAUUACCCCCAUUGAAGAAUCCAUAAGAAGCUUGGGAAUUGCAGAAGAUUACCAUUUUACAUGUGUUCAGACAAGCGAGCCCAUUCAAAACACAAAUCUAGGAGAUGACAUUGAAGCUGGACACCUCCCACCUUCUUCUAGCGAUUAAACUAAUGAGGAGGAUGCAAAAAUAAAGACAACAUCUCCGUCAGUUGUUGUUGGAAGACACACA
This is a long non-coding RNA of Brassica oleracea var. oleracea, 472 nucleotides long. RefSeq lists it as uncharacterized. NCBI's taxonomy places the organism in Eukaryota, Viridiplantae, Streptophyta, Magnoliopsida, Brassicales, Brassicaceae. The record is from RefSeq and is a predicted model, not a curated record. The transcript is spliced from 4 exons.